RNAcentral lists this ribosomal RNA (253 nucleotides) under uncultured bacterium. RNAcentral describes it as "partial 16S ribosomal RNA". It matches the Rfam family "Bacterial small subunit ribosomal RNA", at positions 524 to 776 of the family's 1533-position model. The record is from RNAcentral.
UACGGAGGGGGCUAGCGUUGUUCGGAAUUACUGGGCGUAAAGCGCGCGUAGGCGGCUUUGUAAGACAGAUGUGAAAUCCCCGGGCUUAACCUGGGAACUGCAUUUGUGACUGCAUGGCUAGAGUGCGGCAGAGGGGGAUGGAAUUCCGCGUGUAGCAGUGAAAUGCGUAGAUAUGCGGAGGAACACCGAUGGCGAAGGCAAUCCCCUGGGCCGGCACUGACGCUCAUGCACGAAAGCGUGGGGAGCAAACAGG